GAUGAACGCUGGCGGCGUGCCUAACACAUGCAAGUCGAACGGAUCCAUAUUGAAACCUAGUGAUGUAUGGAUUAGUGGCGGACGGGUGAGUAACGCGUGGAUAACCUGCCGUAUACAGGGGGAUAACACUUAGAAAUAGGUGCUAAUACCGCAUAAGCGCACGGUUCCGCAUGGAACAGUGUGAAAAACUCCGGUGGUAUACGAUGGAUCCGCGUCUGAUUAGCCAGUUGGCGGGGUAACGGCCCACCAAAGCGACGAUCAGUAGCCGGCCUGAGAGGGUGAACGGCCACAUUGGGACUGAGACACGGCCCAAACUCCUACGGGAGGCAGCAGUGGGGAAUAUUGCACAAUGGGGGAAACCCUGAUGCAGCGACGCCGCGUGAGUGAAGAAGUAUCUCGGUACGUAAAGCUCUAUCAGCAGGGAAGAAAA
This 430-nucleotide ribosomal RNA is filed under the name uncultured bacterium. Its description in RNAcentral is "bacterial SSU rRNA". It matches the Rfam family "Bacterial small subunit ribosomal RNA", at positions 28 to 451 of the family's 1533-position model. The record is from RNAcentral.